UGGGGAAUCUUGCACAAUGGGCGAAAGCCUGAUGCAGCGACGCCGCGUGGGGGAUGAAGGCCCUCGGGUUGUAAACCCCUUUCGGCAGGGAAGAAGCCGCAAGGUGACGGUACCUGCAGAAGAAGCCCCGGCCAACUACGUGCCAGCAGCCGCGGUAAGACGUAGGGGGCGAGCGUUGUCCGGAUUCACUGGGCGUAAAGCGCGCGUAGGCGGCUCGUUAAGUCGGAUGUGAAAACCCGGGGCUCAACCCCGGGCCUGCACCCGAUACUGGCGGGCUGGAGGCAGGUAGGGGAGAUCGGAAUUCCCGGUGUAGCGGUGAAAUGCGCAGAUAUCGGGAGGAACACCGGUGGCGAAGGCGGAUCUCUGGGCCUGUCCUGACGCUCAGGCGCGAAAGCUAGGGGAGCAAACAGGAUUAGAUACCCCCGUAGUCC
Molecule: ribosomal RNA, 431 nt
Filed under: uncultured bacterium
Lineage: Bacteria
Description: bacterial SSU rRNA
Rfam family: Bacterial small subunit ribosomal RNA
Source: RNAcentral